GACGAACGCUGGCGGCGUGCUUAACACAUGCAAGUCGAACGGAAAGGCCCCUUUGGGGGUACUCGAGUGGCGCACGGGUGAGUAACACGUGAGUAACCUGCCCUUGACUUCGGGAUAACUUCAGGAAACUGGGGCUAAUACCGGAUAGGAAUCCUUGCUGCAUGGUGGGGGUUGGAAAGCUUCGGCGGUUUUGGAUGGACUCGCGGCUUAUCAGCUUGUUGGUGGGGUAGUGGCUUACCAAGGCUUUGACGGGUAGCCGGCCUGAGAGGGCGACCGGCCACAUUGGGACUGAGAUACGGCCCAGACUCCUACGGGAGGCAGCAGUGGGGAAUAUUGCACAAUGGGCGGAAGCCUGAUGCAGCAACGCCGCGUGCGGGAGGACGGCCUUCGGGUUGUAAACCGCUUUCAGCAGGGGCGAAGCUUGUGGUGACGGUACCUGCAGAAGAAGCACCGGCUAACUACGUG
This 465-nucleotide ribosomal RNA is filed under the name uncultured bacterium. RNAcentral's name for it is "partial 16S ribosomal RNA". It matches the Rfam family "Bacterial small subunit ribosomal RNA", at positions 28 to 507 of the family's 1533-position model. The record is from RNAcentral.